Molecule: ribosomal RNA, 1277 nt
Filed under: Uliginosibacterium sp.
Lineage: Bacteria; Pseudomonadati; Pseudomonadota; Betaproteobacteria; Rhodocyclales; Zoogloeaceae
Description: partial 23S ribosomal RNA
Rfam family: Bacterial large subunit ribosomal RNA
Source: RNAcentral
ACACAGGUGGGCAGGUUGAAAAUACCAAGGCGCUUGAGAGAACUCGGGAGAAGGAACUCGGCAAAUUGAUACCGUAACCCCGGGAGAAGGUAUGCCCCGGUAGCUUGUAGGAGUACAUCCGAAGGGCGAUGGGGGCCGCAGAGAAUCGGUGGCUGCGACUGUUUAUUAAAACACAGCACUCUGCAAACACGAAAGUGGACGUAUAGGGUGUGACGCCUGCCCGGUGCCGGAAGGUUAAGUGAUGGGGUGCAAGCUCUUGAUCGAAGCCCCGGUAAACGGCGGCCGUAACUAUAACGGUCCUAAGGUAGCGAAAUUCCUUGUCGGGUAAGUUCCGACCUGCACGAAUGGCGUAACGAUGGCCACACUGUCUCCUCCCGAGACUCAGCGAAGUUGAAAUGUUUGUGAAGAUGCAAUCUCCCCGCGGCUAGACGGAAAGACCCCAUGAACCUUUACUGUAGCUUUGCAUUGGACUUUGACGGGACUUGUGUAGGAUAGGUGGGAGGCUUUGAGACCAGGACGCUAGUUCUGGUGGAGCCAACCUCGAAAUACCACCCUGGUGUCGUUGAGGUUCUAACCUUGGUCCGUGAAUCCGGAUCGGGGACCGUGCAUGGUAGGCAGUUUGACUGGGGCGGUCUCCUCCCAAAGAGUAACGGAGGAGUACGAAGGUCUUCUAGGUACGGUCGGACAUCGUACUGAUAGUGCAAUGGCAAAAGAAGGCUUGACUGCGAGACCCACAAGUCGAGCAGGUGCGAAAGCAGGUCAUAGUGAUCCGGUGGUUCUGUACUGGAAGGGCCAUCGCUCAACGGAUAAAAGGUACUCUGGGGAUAACAGGCUGAUUCCGCCCAAGAGUUCACAUCGACGGCGGAGUUUGGCACCUCGAUGUCGGCUCAUCACAUCCUGGGGCUGUAGCCGGUCCCAAGGGUAUGGCUGUUCGCCAUUUAAAGUGGUACGCGAGCUGGGUUUAAAACGUCGUGAGACAGUUUGGUCCCUAUCUGCCGUGGGCGUUGGAAGUUUGAGGACCUGCUCCUAGUACGAGAGGACCGGGGGACGAAUCUCCGGGGGUACCUGUUGUCUCGCCAGAGGCAUCGCAGGGUAGCUAUGUACGGAAGAGAUAACCGCUGAAAGCAUCUAAGCGGGAAACGCGCCUGAAGAUAAGAUUUCCCGGGGGUUUAACCCCCUUGAAGGGUCGUUCAAGACCAGGACGUUGAUAGGUCAAGUGUGGAAGCGCAGUAAUGCGUUAAGCUAAUUGAUACUAAUUGCCCGUGCGGCUUGAUCCU